UUCUUAAUGUAGCCAAGCGCCGGUGACAAGCCCGACAGAAUACAGAGUCAAGAA
Molecule: non-coding RNA, 54 nt
Filed under: unclassified sequences
Source: RNAcentral